This 269-nucleotide ribosomal RNA is filed under the name uncultured bacterium. RNAcentral describes it as "partial 16S ribosomal RNA". It matches the Rfam family "Bacterial small subunit ribosomal RNA", at positions 87 to 354 of the family's 1533-position model. The record is from RNAcentral.
CCCGGCGACCGGCGCACGGUGAGUAACACGUAUGCAACCUGGCCGCCACAGGGGGAUAACCCGCGGAAACGCGGUCUAAUACCCCGUGACGCCACCGGAGGGCAUCCUCCGGUGGCCAAAGGAGCGAUCCGGUGGCGGAUGGGCAUGCGGCGCAUUAGCUAGACGGCGGGGUGACGGCCCACCGUGGCGACGAUGCGUAGGGGUUCUGAGAGGAAGGCCCCCCCACACUGGGACUGAGACACGGCCCAGACUCCUACGGAAGGCAGCAG